Molecule: ribosomal RNA, 374 nt
Filed under: uncultured organism
Description: partial 16S ribosomal RNA
Rfam family: Bacterial small subunit ribosomal RNA
Source: RNAcentral
GUAGGUGGCAAGUGUUGUCCGGAAUUAUUGGGCGUAAAGCGCGCGCAGGCGGUCCUUUAAGUCUGAUGUGAAAGCCCACGGCUCAACCGUGGAGGGUCAUUGGAAACUGGGGGACUUGAGUACAGAAGAGGAAAGCGGAAUUCCAAGUGUAGCGGUGAAAUGCGUAGAGAUUUGGAGGAACACCAGUGGCGAAGGCGGCUUUCUGGUCUGUAACUGACGCUGAGGCGCGAAAGCGUGGGGAGCAAACAGGAUUAGAUACCCUGGUAGUCCACGCCGUAAACGAUGAGUGCUAAGUGUUAGGGGGUUUCCCGCCCCCCUUAGUGCUGCAGCUAACGCAUUAAGCACUCCGCCUGGGGAGUACGGCCGCAAGGCUG